Molecule: ribosomal RNA, 497 nt
Filed under: uncultured bacterium
Lineage: Bacteria
Description: partial 16S ribosomal RNA
Rfam family: Bacterial small subunit ribosomal RNA
Source: RNAcentral
GAUGAACGCUGGCGGCGUGCCUAAUACAUGCAAGUCGAACGGACGGACGAGACGCUUGCUUCUCUCAUGUUAGCGGCGCACGGGAGAGUCACACGUGUAAAACCUACCUAUCAGACUGGGAUCACUUCGGGACACCGGCGCUAAUCCCGGAUAAUAUUUUGAUCCGCAUGGUUCAAAAGUGAAAGACGGUCUUGCUGUAACUUCUAGAUGGUUACGGGCUGCAUUGGCUGGUUGGUAAGGUAACGGCCUAUCAAGGCAACGAUGCAUAGCCGACCUGAUAGGCGGAUCGGCCACACUGGAACUGGACCACGGUCCAGACUCCUACGGGAGGCAGCAGUAGGGAAUCUUCCGCAAUGGGCGAAAGCCUGACGGAGCAACGCCGCGUGAGUGAUGACGGUCUUCGGAUCGUAAAACUCUGUUAUGAGGUAAGAACAGAUGUCGAAGUAACCGUGCACAGCGUGACGGUACCUAAUCAGAAAGCCACGGCUAACUACGUG